Molecule: non-coding RNA, 281 nt
Organism: Chlorocebus sabaeus (green monkey)
Lineage: Eukaryota; Metazoa; Chordata; Mammalia; Primates; Cercopithecidae
Source: Rfam
GCCGGGCGCGGUGGCUGAAUCCUGUAGUCUCAGCACUUUGGGAGGCCAAGACGGGCGGAUCAUGAGGUCAGGAGAUCGAGACCAUCCUGGCUAACACAGUGAAACCCCGUCUCUACUAAAAAAUACAAAAAACUAGCCGGGCGAGGUGGCGGGCACCUGNNNNNNNNNNCAGGUGCCCGCCACCUCGCCCGGCUAGUUUUUUGUAUUUUUUAGUAGAGACGGGGUUUCACUGUGUUAGCCAGGAUGGUCUCGAUCUCCUGACCUCAUGAUCCGCCCGUCUU